RNAcentral lists this ribosomal RNA (462 nucleotides) under Streptococcus mitis. Its description in RNAcentral is "bacterial SSU rRNA". It matches the Rfam family "Bacterial small subunit ribosomal RNA", at positions 28 to 474 of the family's 1533-position model. Lineage: Bacteria; Bacillati; Bacillota; Bacilli; Lactobacillales; Streptococcaceae. The record is from RNAcentral.
GACGAACGCUGGCGGCGUGCCUAAUACAUGCAAGUAGAACGCUGAAGGAGGAGCUUGCUUCUCUGGAUGAGUUGCGAACGGGUGAGUAACGCGUAGGUAACCUGCCUGGUAGCGGGGGAUAACUAUUGGAAACGAUAGCUAAUACCGCAUAACAGUAGAUGUUGCAUGACAUUUGCUUAAAAGGUGCAAUUGCAUCACUACCAGAUGGACCUGCGUUGUAUUAGCUAGUUGGUGAGGUAACGGCUCACCAAGGCAACGAUACAUAGCCGACCUGAGAGGGUGAUCGGCCACACUGGGACUGAGACACGGCCCAGACUCCUACGGGAGGCAGCAGUAGGGAAUCUUCGGCAAUGGACGGAAGUCUGACCGAGCAACGCCGCGUGAGUGAAGAAGGUUUUCGGAUCGUAAAGCUCUGUUGUAAGAGAAGAACGAGUGUGAGAGUGGAAAGUUCACACUGUGACG